ACACCGCCCGUUCACACCAUGGAAGUGGAUUGCACCAGAAGUAGAUAGUCUAACCUUAGGGAGGGCGUUUACCACGGUUGUGCUUCAUGACUGGGGUGAAGUCGUAACAAGGUAGCCGUAGGGGAACCUGUGGCUGGAUCACCUCCUU
This 148-nucleotide ribosomal RNA is filed under the name uncultured bacterium. Its description in RNAcentral is "partial 16S ribosomal RNA". It matches the Rfam family "Bacterial small subunit ribosomal RNA", at positions 1387 to 1532 of the family's 1533-position model. The record is from RNAcentral.